Molecule: ribosomal RNA, 253 nt
Filed under: uncultured bacterium
Lineage: Bacteria
Description: partial 16S ribosomal RNA
Rfam family: Bacterial small subunit ribosomal RNA
Source: RNAcentral
UACGUAGGGUCCGAGCGUUGUCCGGAAUUAUUGGGCGUAAAGGGCUCGUAGGCGGUUUGUCGCGUCGGGAGUGAAAACACGGGGCUUAACCCCGUGCCUGCUUCCGAUACGGGCAGACUAGAGGUAUGCAGGGGAGAACGGAAUUCCUGGUGUAGCGGUGAAAUGCGCAGAUAUCAGGAGGAACACCGGUGGCGAAGGCGGUUCCCUGGGCAUUACCUGACGCUGAGGAGCGAAAGUGUGGGGAGCGAACAGG